Ornithorhynchus anatinus (platypus) is the source of this 1132-nucleotide long non-coding RNA. RefSeq lists it as uncharacterized. The record is from RefSeq and is a predicted model, not a curated record. NCBI's taxonomy places the organism in Eukaryota, Metazoa, Chordata, Mammalia, Monotremata, Ornithorhynchidae. The transcript has 2 exons.
GCCUGAAUAUUAUGAUUAUGGUCAUGGAACAAGUGAAAGACGCCUAUGACAGCUAUGUACAAGAAGAAUGGGCAACCACCCGUUCCAGUCUAAAGGCACCACCACCAAGGUCAGCCAGAGGGGGAUACAGGGAACAUCCCUAUGGUAGAUAUUGAAGGUCUUCCUCAUCUGUGACCUCACCUCAAAGACAAUUAAUAGCCUGUGGUCUCCACAUAAACGGCAACAAGACAAGUAAUAGUCCAUUUCUUUUCUAUCCUAGGGAUUACUGCUCAUGAUUACCCCAUGUACUUCUUGUAUUUCCUCCUAAACCAUUGGCGUGACAUUUGGCAUUAGUAAUAUUUUAUAACACGGACUUAAAAGACUUUGGCAAGCAUCGUCUCUAAACCAUUUAGUAGGAUGAUGUUCUUUCUCUUGGUUGUUUUCAUUGUUGUGUGUAAUUUUUUUAAAGAGAAAAAGCAUGAAGCUGUUAAAAGAUCUUGAGUCUCUUCAAAAUAGCCAAGGCUGAGUUUUGUUUAGGGUUGCUAAAAGAUUGUAAUAUGAUUUUGAAACAGAUGAUAAUCAAGAUGUAGAUAAGAUGUUUUAACCUGUCUUUUAAUAUAUGUUAGUUAGAUUAAGAUGUUCGAUAUUAAGUUUGUAAAUUUAAUUUUAAAUGCUGUUUUAAUGGGGUUGAAAACAAGCAGCUACUGUAUGUAUGUAGCUAACUGAAUUUGUUUCAGUGUUUUAACCUGUAUUUGUUUAAACAAAAAACAACACAUAAAGUUCCAUGUGUAAGCUUCUCUCUAAAUAGGAAACCACAAUUUUGUCAAAUAUGUUUGCCAUAAUUUGUCAAUAAAGCUGAAACCUUUUGUAACAAACUAAAUUUGGAAUUACUUGUUUUCUAGCUUUAAAUGCUUGCUUUAUUUCUUCUUCAAGAGAUGCCUAAACUGUUUUAUAUUUAAAAUUACAAAAAUGAACCCAAGCCUGUUUUAAGAAUUUUGUGUAAGACUUUAAAAGUUGUAUUAAUAACUUAUGGUUGUUAAAUAAUUUAAAAGUUAACAAACUAAACUGUUACUUGAAUCAUGGUUAGUAAACACUAAUGUAUAACAUGUUAAUGGAAAAAAUGGAUUUAGACUAAUAAAUGGAUUUUAAACUA